UGAGCUAUUUUAGGCAAAACUCAUUUUAAC
RNAcentral lists this non-coding RNA (30 nucleotides) under Rattus norvegicus (Norway rat). The record is from RNAcentral. Lineage: Eukaryota; Metazoa; Chordata; Mammalia; Rodentia; Muridae.